AUGUGGUAUGGCUGGAGCAAGCCGUACGAGCCGCGAACGCCGCUCAUGGUGGCGGCGACGUACGGCAGCGCGCGAGUCGUCUUGCUGCUGUUCGGGCGCACUGGCCGGGUUGAUGUAGCUCAUCGGCCCGGCGACGACGACUUCACCCCACGCAGUGGCAAAGGAAAGAGGCGGGAGCCGCAGCGGGAACCAGGUGCUCAAGGCCCGCUGCCGCGGGAUGCCGUGGAAGGGACUCGCGGCAGCCGCUGGAGAGCGGAUCUACGUCGCCGGCGGCCACAUAGCGGAGGUUGUCCAUCUCGACGCGCUCGACGGCUACAGGGAAGAUGGCCACGAGAGCGCCCGAUAGGAAGGGAGCGGCGAGCACUUUUAGCCAGGCCGUGGCGGCGGAACUGUUGGGCGCGCAGGUACACCGCCGGCGAUCCUCCUCCGAACGACGUUAGAAGACACGAGGCCGAUGGUGUGUGGGGGAACGACGACCGGGAGGGAGAUAUUGCUAUGGGGGAGGAGUUUUUUUAG
RNAcentral lists this ribosomal RNA (516 nucleotides) under Triticum aestivum (bread wheat). Its description in RNAcentral is "partial small subunit ribosomal RNA". The record is from RNAcentral. Lineage: Eukaryota; Viridiplantae; Streptophyta; Magnoliopsida; Poales; Poaceae.